UACGGAGGGUGCAAGCGUUAUCCGGAUUCACUGGGUUUAAAGGGUGCGUAGGCGGGUAUGUAAGUCAGUGGUGAAAUCCCCGAGCUUAACUCGGGAACUGCCAUUGAUACUAUAUAUCUUGAAUAUCCUGGAGGUCUGCGGAAUAUGUCAUGUAGCGGUGAAGUGCUUAGAGAUGACAUAGAACAUCGAUUGCGAAGGCAGCAGGCUACGGGAUGAUUGACGCUGAGGCACGAAAGCGUGGGGAUCAAACAGG
Molecule: ribosomal RNA, 253 nt
Filed under: uncultured bacterium
Lineage: Bacteria
Description: partial 16S ribosomal RNA
Rfam family: Bacterial small subunit ribosomal RNA
Source: RNAcentral